CUGUCCGAGCGUCAUGCGUCACAUCGGACCCCCCCAGCUGGGGUCCGGAGUUGGGCGCCCGCGUCGCCCUCGACCUGAGAAGGCGCGGGGCUCAAAAUGAAACCCCCUUGGUGGAAGAUCACCCGGCGGAGCAGAGCGACCGAGGCAUGAUGCCACCGCUCGAAGCCCCGCCCCCCGAUCGACCCACGUCGGUCGGAGGCACCAACGCAGCGACUGACCUCGGAUCAGGUAGGGAUACCCGCUGAACUUAAGC
Molecule: unclassified non-coding RNA, 253 nt
Filed under: plant metagenome
Description: partial contains internal transcribed spacer 2 and large subunit ribosomal RNA
Source: RNAcentral